RNAcentral lists this microRNA (22 nucleotides) under Ciona intestinalis (vase tunicate). Its description in RNAcentral is "cin-miR-5609-5p". The record is from miRBase by way of RNAcentral. Lineage: Eukaryota; Metazoa; Chordata; Ascidiacea; Phlebobranchia; Cionidae.
AGCAGUAGCGAGCCUUGAACCC